GACACUCUGGAAAGCGCUUCGCAGAAAUGCGCGGCCACCGAAGGGGUAAGCCCGUAUUUUGCGGGUCAGUCUCUCAGGUUUCCCGACAGAGGGGG
RNAcentral lists this non-coding RNA (95 nucleotides) under marine eukaryotic metagenome. RNAcentral describes it as "Glycine riboswitch". It matches the Rfam family "Glycine riboswitch aptamer", at positions 7 to 88 of the family's 94-position model. From Rfam's summary of the family: This family represents the bacterial glycine riboswitch. Glycine riboswitches usually consist of two metabolite-binding aptamers domains with similar structures in tandem. The record is from RNAcentral.